GAAUGAGAUAUCAACCAGAUUCCUUUUUCUAUGGCUUCCCUAAUGUGUCUAGAGUCACAAUACAUAGUUUCAGGCUUUUAUUUUGAAAAAUGAGCCUGAACGUCAACAUUGCAUCAGUGGUCAGCUGAAGUCUCUCAGAGUGUUUUGUGCAUAAAGGACAAAUGCGGCCAUUGUUUCUCUCUAUCCUACUAAGAAGCCACCAGUCCCGGUUGAUAUAUUAUCGAAUAGAUAUUUGAAAAACACCUUGAGGCUUGAUUAUAAACAAUGUUUGCCAUGUUUCUGUCGAUAUUAUGGAGCUAAUUUGGAAUAUUUUUCGGCGUUGUAGUGACCGCAAAUUCCGGUCGAUUUCUCAGCCAAACGUGAAGAACAAACGGAGCUAUUUCACCUACAAAAAUAAUAUUUUUGGAAAAAAGGAACAUUUGCUAUCUAACUGGGAGUCUCUUGAGUGAAAACAUCCGAAGCUCAUCAAAGACUGACUCUGGUCUUCCAAAAUGGCACCUAGAGUGAUUGGUAGGUGAUUGGUAGGCUCUGGUACGGCAACUGCUCCGCCCUCAACCGUAAGGCUCUCCAGAGGGUAGUGAGGUCUGCACAACGCAUCACCGGGGGCAAACUACCUGCCCUCCAGGACACCUACACCACCCGAUGUUACAGGAAGGCCAUAAAGAUCAUCAAGGACAUCAACCACCCGAGCCACUGCCUGUUCACCCCGCUAUCAUCCAGAAGGCGAGGUCAGUACAGGUGCAUCAAAGCUGGGACCGAGAGACUGAAAAACAGCUUCUAUCUCAAGGCCAUCAGACUGUUAAACAGCCACCACUAACAUUGAGUGGCUGCUGCCAGCACACUGACACUGACACUGACUAAACUCCAGCCACUUUAAUAAUGGGAAAUGAUGUAAAUAUAUCACUAGCCACUUUAAACAAUGCUACCUUAUAUAAUGUUACUUACCCUACAUUAUUCAUCUCAUAUGCAUACGUAUAUACUGUACUCUAUAUCGUCGACUGCAUCCUUAUGUAAUACAUGUAUCACUAGCCACUUUAACUAUGCCACUUUGUUUACAUACUCAUCUCAUAUGUAUAUACUGUACUCGAUACCAUCUACUGUAUCUUGCCUAUGCUGCUCUGUACCAUCACUCAUUCAUAUAUCCUUAUGUACAUAUUCUUUAUCCCCUUACACUGUGUAUAAGACAGUAGUUUUGGAAUUGUUAGUUAGAUUACUUGUUGGUUAUUACUGCACUGUCGGAACUAGAAGCACAAGCAUUUCGCUACACUCGCAUUAACAUCUGCUAACCAUGUGUAUGUGACAAAUAAAAUUUGAUUUGAUUUGAUUUUGCAACUGCAACCCCUCUAUGGUCUUGAAGAGCAGGAAGUGAAUAACCUACAGCCUCAUCUCUCAGCACUAAACUCUUUGCUUUCUUUUCUCUUCACCGUUUUAUCUUCCUUCAAUGUGAUUAAAGGCUGACGCAGUGUUUCCACUGUCUGAAAAUAGACUCACUGUUAGUUGCUGAUCUAUAGAAGUGUUGUGAAAACUCACUUUUUAUAUGGAGGGGGAAAGAAGGGUGGGGUGAGAAAGAUGGCUAUGUCUCCUGAAUCUCUGUCCCAGUGGAAAUAGACCAAAAUGCUGCAGACACACAAAUAGGAUUCUGGGAAGAAUUAUUGACAGGCUCAGCACUGUUGUGACAGAGAGAGAGAGAGAGAGAGAGAGAGAGAGAGAGAGAGGCUGGGAGAGGGAGGGAGAUGUAGAGAGGUGUGGGGCAAAGAUGGAAAGAUACAGGGAGUAACAGAGAGGGAAUGCUUAUUUAUUUUGUCUUGUCAUUGUUAAAACACUGUGUAUAUAUAUAUAUAUAUAUAUAUAUAUAUAUAUAUAUAUGACAUUUGUAAUGUCUUUAUUGUUUUGAAACUUCUGUCUGUGU
Molecule: long non-coding RNA, 1909 nt
Organism: Oncorhynchus tshawytscha (Chinook salmon)
Lineage: Eukaryota; Metazoa; Chordata; Actinopteri; Salmoniformes; Salmonidae
Source: Ensembl